RNAcentral lists this unclassified non-coding RNA (145 nucleotides) under soil metagenome. Its description in RNAcentral is "partial internal transcribed spacer 1". The record is from RNAcentral.
UAAUAAGUGUUUUAUGGCACUUUUUAAAUCCAUAUCCACCUUGUGUGCAAUGUCAGUCGAUCUUCUUCAUGGAGAUCGACCAAACAUCAACCUUUAUCUUUUAACUCUUUGUCUGAAAAAUAUUAUGAAUAAACAAUUCAAAGUA